UGCUUACCAAUGAUGGUCAAAAUAAAUGUCUGAACAUAUGAUUUCACUGUGAUAUCAGCGUUUUAAACUGAGGUAAGCA
RNAcentral lists this small nucleolar RNA (79 nucleotides) under Gouania willdenowi (blunt-snouted clingfish). RNAcentral describes it as "Small nucleolar RNA SNORD72 (ENSGWIG00000019515.1)". It matches the Rfam family "Small nucleolar RNA SNORD72". From Rfam's summary of the family: snoRNA HBII-240 belongs to the CD family of snoRNAs. It is the human orthologue of the mouse MBII-240 and is predicted to guide 2'O-ribose methylation of the large 28S rRNA at residue U4590. Lineage: Eukaryota; Metazoa; Chordata; Actinopteri; Blenniiformes; Gobiesocidae. The record is from Rfam by way of RNAcentral.